RNAcentral lists this ribosomal RNA (452 nucleotides) under uncultured bacterium. RNAcentral's name for it is "partial 16S ribosomal RNA". It matches the Rfam family "Bacterial small subunit ribosomal RNA", at positions 28 to 507 of the family's 1533-position model. The record is from RNAcentral.
GAUGAACGCUGGUGGCGUGCCUAACACAUGCAAGUCGAGCGAUUCUCUUCGUAGAAGAGUGGCGGACUGGUGAGUAACGCGUGGGUAACCUGCCCUGUACACACUGAUAACAUACCGAAAUGUAUGCUAAUACGCUAUAACAUGCUUUUAUCGCUUGGUAGAAGUAUCAAAGCUUUUGCGGUACAGGAUGGACCCGCGUCUGAUUAGCUAGUUGGUGAGGUAACGGCUCACCAAGGCGACGAUCAGUAGCCGACCUGAGAGGGUGAUCGGCCACAUUGGAACUGAGACACGGUCCAAACUCCUACGGGAGGCAGCAGUGGGGAAUAUUGCACAAUGGGCGAAAGCCUGAUGCAGCAACGCCGCGUGAGCGAUGAAGGCCUUCGGGUCGUAAAGCUCUGUCCUCAAGGAAGAUAAUGACGGUACUUGAGGAGGAAGCCCCGGCUAACUACGUG